RNAcentral lists this ribosomal RNA (500 nucleotides) under uncultured bacterium. Its description in RNAcentral is "partial 16S ribosomal RNA". It matches the Rfam family "Bacterial small subunit ribosomal RNA", at positions 28 to 507 of the family's 1533-position model. The record is from RNAcentral.
GACGAACGCUGGCGGCGUGCCUAAUACAUGCAAGUCGAGCGGACUGAUUAAGAGCUUGCUCUUAUGACGUUAGCGGCGGACGGGUGAGUAACACGUGGGCAACCUGCCCUGUAGAUCGGGAUAACACCGAGAAAUCGGUGCUAAUACCGGGUAAUAUCUGAGAUCACAUGAUCUUAGGUUAAAAGAUGGCUCCGGCUAUCACUACAGGAUGGGCCCGCGGCGCAUUAGCUAGUUGGUAAGGUAAUGGCUUACCAAGGCGACGAUGCGUAGCCGACCUGAGAGGGUGAGCGGCCACACGGGGACUGAGACACGGCCCAGACUCCUACGGGAGGCAGCAGUAGGGAAUCUUCCGCAAUGGACGAAAGUCUGACGGAGCAACGCCGCGUGAGUGAUGAAGGGUUUCGGCUCGUAAAGCUCUGUUGUUAGGGAAGAAACAGUACCGAACGAACUAGGUCGGUACCUUGACGGUACCUAACCAGAAAGCCACGGCUAACUACGUG